CCAUCUUUCUCUUUUUUAAUGGCUUUUGGCUUUUAUGUCACAAAUAAAGGUUAUGAAAAUAAACUUCAUAGUACUUUUUAUGCCUUUUUUUUUCUUGGUUUCUGUGAACCUAUUGGUUUUUUUACAUUUUAAUUUUCAGUACACCUGAGAUUUUUUGGGGGGAAUAUUUUAGGAUCUAAUUAUAUUUUAUUUUUCUGAAUGGAUAACUAGUUAUUUCAACAUUCAUAUUGAUUGAUUUAUCUUUUCUCCAUUGAUAACUCUGUUUCCUUGAUUCACAGAUCUCUUAACAAGACUGAAUCAUAGAAGCUAGGCGUCUUAGUCCGUUCUCAUGCUGCUGUCAAGAACUGCCCAAGACUGGGUAAUUUAUAGAGAAAAGAGGUUUAAUUGACCUCACAGUUCUGCAUGGCUGGGGAAGCCUCAGGA
RNAcentral lists this long non-coding RNA (423 nucleotides) under Homo sapiens (human). Its description in RNAcentral is "non-protein coding lnc-DISP1-4:9". Lineage: Eukaryota; Metazoa; Chordata; Mammalia; Primates; Hominidae. The record is from RNAcentral.